UACGUAGGAGGCGAGCGUUGUCCGGAUUCAUUGGGCGUAAAGAGCGCGCAGGCGGCUUGGUAAGUCGGAUGUGAAAUCCCGAGGCUCAACCUCGGGUCUGCAUCCGAUACUGCCCGGCUAGAGGUAGGUAGGGGAGAUCGGAAUUCCUGGUGUAGCGGUGAAAUGACGCAGAUAUCAGGAAGAACACCCGUGGCGAAGGCGGUUCUCUGGGACGGUACUGACGCUGAGACGCGAAAGCGUGGGGAGCGAACAGG
RNAcentral lists this ribosomal RNA (254 nucleotides) under uncultured bacterium. Its description in RNAcentral is "partial 16S ribosomal RNA". It matches the Rfam family "Bacterial small subunit ribosomal RNA", at positions 524 to 776 of the family's 1533-position model. The record is from RNAcentral.